AAAACUUUCAACAACGGAUCUCUUGGUUCCAGCAUCGAUGAAGAACGCAGCGAAAUGCGAUAAGUAAUGUGAAGGCAGAAUUCAGUGAAUCAUCGAAUCUUUGAACGCACAUUGCGCCCCUCGGCAUUCCGGGGGGCAUGCCUGUUCGAGCGUCAUU
RNAcentral lists this ribosomal RNA (157 nucleotides) under Xanthoparmelia dierythra. RNAcentral describes it as "5.8S ribosomal RNA". It matches the Rfam family "5.8S ribosomal RNA". From Rfam's summary of the family: 5.8S ribosomal RNA (5.8S rRNA) is a component of the large subunit of the eukaryotic ribosome. It is transcribed by RNA polymerase I as part of the 45S precursor that also contains 18S and 28S rRNA. Lineage: Eukaryota; Fungi; Ascomycota; Lecanoromycetes; Lecanorales; Parmeliaceae. The record is from RNAcentral.